This is a long non-coding RNA of Lutra lutra (Eurasian river otter), 5305 nucleotides long. RefSeq lists it as uncharacterized. The record is from RefSeq and is a predicted model, not a curated record. NCBI's taxonomy places the organism in Eukaryota, Metazoa, Chordata, Mammalia, Carnivora, Mustelidae. The transcript has 2 exons.
CUGAUGAUGUGCUCCCUCAAAUUACAGUAUAAACCAAAAAAGGGGGAAGAAUGGGAUACGGGAAAGAGGAGACCCAAUGCAGGAGAGAGGAGAAGCGACUUCCCACUUUGAUGUUGAAAGGACAUCUCAGGACAACAGCCAUGCACCAACCAGGGAAAGUAACCAUCCACCAUAAGUCCAGAGCCCAUGGAAAAACUCCUUCAAGAAGAUAAAUUGAUAGAAUAUCUGAUGUGUAUGAAAGGUAACAUGGACAAACUUUGGAGAGUUUGGGGUUGAACUGGUGAUAAGUACAUGGAAUUUCCAACACAUAUUAAACAAAAGGCAAUCUUAAAUCAAGGGAAAACAAAAGACUGUUCAGGAAAAGAAAAGCAAUCAAAAUUUGCUGUGAAGGCUCAGAUCUGAAUAGCAUACAUGGUCAUAUUAUUGUAAACAUUGACUAUUGAUCUAAGCAAAAACCAUAGUUCUGGGAGAAUGGGAAGGUGGCAGGGUGAAUGUGUUUGGCAGGACAAGAGAAGGAAAAGGAGCUAAGUCUGCAUUUUCCAUAGUGGGAAGUAAACAGAUGAAGCAUAAAACAAAUACCCCCCAAAAGUAGCAAUACAAACACACUGUUGGAUAAGGUGGUAAAGAUCAAAAUAAAUCUAGAAAAGGUGAAAAUGGUUGCCUCUGUGGAGGGAAAUGGGGGAGGUUAACUGGAGACUGCUUUUUGUCUUAAAAAAUCGUAUAGAACCAGUUGAGUCUGGUUCUUUAAACUAUGUGCAUGUAUAAUUUUUGACAGAAAUUAAAACUUUAAGUUUUCCCUGGUUUUGUAGUGGGAACUGUAAGAGUAGGGUUAUGUGCUGUGAAAAAAGCCAGGCCAAUUUGUGGUAUGGUAAUGAAAUAGAUGGCUAGUUUCAUACUGCUGCUCUUCUGUACCACCAUAAAGCUUAUUCAUUCAUUUAUUUGACAAAUAUUGAUCAAGGCCCUGCUAUAUGAAGGCAAUUUCACCUCCAUUAUCUCUAAUAAUCUGGCUUUUAGAAAUCAUAGGGAAGAAAUGUGGGCUUAUGGCUCCCUUUCUGAUCAAGUCCACAUAGGGGCUACUGACUAACCUGGGAGGGACCAGGUAGGGUCUGGGCCUGUGCUGGGGCUAGAAGAAACAGAGGCUAGUCUUCCCCUCUGGGUGAUGGUGGGUGCUCCUCCUCCAUAUAAAUGUCCACUUAGACAUUUAUAUGUCUAAAAUAUGUAAUAUAUUUUAUAUUAAAUAAUAUAUAAAUACAUAUUAUAUAUAAUAUAUAAAUAAGACACCUUACCACCUAAAGAUUAGUUUCUUUCCAAACUAAGUCUCACCCACAAGAUAAAACUCACAUUUCCCUGUUAACAGGGUACAUGAGAGAAUGGGGAGGGAUGAGCAUAGUAUCUGUUCUCCCUUUUGUGGAAUAUCUGUGACCUAGAAAAAGUAUGUAGUUGAAGUUCUACCCCUCCCUAAUGAGUGAAGAGGAAAUCUACAUAGCACAGUUUGGUCAUAUGAAAUAUGCCCUCCUUGAACAUGUCCUGCUCACCAUAAGUCCCCAGAAAUUUGGGGAUGGCCCUCCUGUCCUGUCACAGAGAGCCUGUAUCAUCUCCUGUACUUGGGAAGCAAUUCGGACCUCCUUAGCAAUGUCGUCUUCCACCUGAGAAGGGUAAGUUAUAGGUCAAAGUACCACUGAGACUACCUUGGGAUCGAGGUGCAUGAAGGCAUGACCAGUGGCUCCCCAAGCUAAGAAGAAAGGGUCAGCAGGUGCCCAUCUACUCCACCAUGGAGGAAGAGAGGAAAGGAGAAAGGGAAAGAGACAGGUUCAAAGUAAAGACUAUUAGGAACUCUUCCUCUAUGGGCUAUUUGGUAUAACAAUUGGCUUUCCAUCAUUCCUCUUCAUCAUAGAUUUUCUGAACCACAGCCAAGGCAGGGGGGGGUGCUAGUCAGCUCUGAGAUUGUUUGUUGCACUUGCCCUUUGUAAAAACUACAUUUCAGAGCCAAAAGAUGAGCUAAUAUUCUACUUCAGCAUCAGUAGUAAAAAGCAAAUAACUGGGUAUGAGAACCAGGAAAUAAGAAGUUUAAUGCUCCCAUGGAGAAGCAAAUAUUUGCACUUAUUAAUAUCCUGAAAACCAUGUUGCCAUGAAUAGUUCCUUCUCCUUUUAUCCCAUGCCUUUGUCUAACACAGUGAUAUAUUGCCACCCUUUCAAAAUCCUGACACAGAUGACAUUGAAGCAAAUUAUGUACCUCAGCCAGAUUUCUCAGUUGAAAUGGAGAUAGCUGAUGUGUACAUUUUUCCAUCUAAUUAACAUUCCACAGUUUGAAUAGCUGUUAUCAUGCCCUGGGUCCCAUAUGAAUGGGUGAAUAGAUAGAAAGAUCCAUAAACAGCUUGGCUUGCAUAGAAUGAGAUUUUUCUCCAGACAAAGAGAAAAUGGAAUGAAUCAUUGUCAUCUGGAUGGUAGCAGCCAUCAGGGACUAACAUGAGCACACUCCCCUGUGAGCAGAUACAAGUGUGUUGCCUGGCACCAGAAGCCAUCUCUGGAGGACCUUGGCCCACUCCCGGCCUCUGUAUUCCGCCACGUAAAUUUUUUCACCCAGGUUUUUGUUUAUACUGGUUUGUGGUGUCCAAAAAUCUGUCCCAAAUUUGUUCAUACUCCUCCACUCAACAGGUGUAAAUUAAUUCUCCUCUCCUUAUACUUAGUGAUUCAGUUCCAAUGAAAAGAAUAUGGCCAAAGUGAUAGUAUAUAACUUCUGAGACUAGGUCCAAAAAUACAUUUCUUUCUUUCUCUCUCUCUCUCCCUCUCUCUCACUCACUCUGGAGAAAGCCAGUUGCCAUUACAAGAGGCUACUCACAAAGUCCCGUGGAGAGUAACUUAUGCCUCCUGCCAAUAACCAUGGGGAUGAACCAUCCUGGAAGUCGAUCCCUAGCCCCAGACAAGCCUUCAGAUGAGACCACAGCCCUAGCCGACAUGACUGCAACCUCGUGAGAGACCCUGAGCCAGAACCACUCAGCUAAGUCACUAUUGAAUUCCCGACUCACAGAAACUGUGUGAUGUAAUGUUCAUUGCUUGAAGCUGCUGAAUUUGAGGCUGACCCUAUGCAACAACAGGUAACUAAUACACACUGUGAUUUCCCCAUAUUUAUGGGGAAAGGUUUUUUUUCUCCCUAAUAUUCAAAGGCCAAGAUGACUACAGCUGCCAUAGCAAAACUCCAAAGUCACUGCAAAGUGAGGGGAUCAGAAGCUUGCUCAGGCCUUCCACAAGCCAGCCAGCUCUCUGGGAACUGUACAACUUGCUGGAAAAAGACACAAAAAAAUUGAAGGAAAAUGUCAAGGGCGUGCCUCAGGCCACUCAUCACUCAUUCCCUCUUUCCUCCAUGUAUCCUCUAAGCGGUGUCCCGUCUCACAGACCUCACUGUGUUCUGCAGCCUCUCUCAUCAGCUCUGUGCAUGCUCUUGGCCCCCUGUGUAACUCCUCAUACGUCGGUCUUCCCCCCAGAAACCCGUAGCUGGCAUACUGGUGCUCACACCUGCAAAGCCCAGCCUAUGCCAGGUCCUGAGCCAACUUGGGCCAGGAUAGGCAGUGCCAGAGGUCCCUUGGUGCUUUCAAAGCAAGCUGGACGUGGAAACGCCCAUAAGUGGAGUAACUACAAAUGAGCAGAGUGGUUAAAAUCUCCAGUUUGGACCUAGGCAGAAAUAAGUUUGAUUCCAGAAUCCACUGUUGACUGGCUAAUUGAUUUUGGACAAGUUAAGUAGCUAAUACUUGUCUCUCUCCUCGGUAAAAUGGGUGCAUACCAUGGCCCACCUUGAACAGAAUUACAUUAAAUCUAUGUAACCUCUUCAUACAGGGCCUGGUGUCUUAAUAAAUGUUGCUAUUAAGACCAGGAGUAGAAGGCUUCCUAUCACAAGCUUGGAAUCCCCUUCUCACCCUGUGCAAUUACUUCAUUCCCACUCAUUGUAAAUGCUGUUGAAGUUACGGCUGCAACAAGGAAACUAAAAUGAGAUCGGAUCCUCAAGACAUGGUGUGAGCUUGAAGGUGGAGGUGGAAGGAGGUGUUCUUACUGUGCCUGCCCUUCUUAGGAGAUUUUUCCUCUCUCCAACCCAAUGGAUCUGUUCUAAGCAGAGGAUCCUUCUAAGAGGGAGAGGGAGAAGGAAUGUCCACAUCAAAAGGAGAGAGCUUGUCUGGGGUGUGAAGAGGGCACAGAACCAGAGCCAGAGCCAGAGUCUGCCUGCACCUGGGGUCAAGGAGCCAGAAUUCUGAAGGAGGCCAGAGAAUCAAAGCUGUGUAUUUGGAGCAAACAGAGGAAAAAGCCACAAGCAGAGGUAACAGUGGAUUCAUUGCCAAAGGGAUCUGCAAAGUGGGAGGGGCUACACCUACAGAUUAUAAGGAUGUGCCCGAAUAGGCACUUUUGCAAGACCCAGAUUCUAUCUCCCAAACCUGGGUCUUCUGCUAUAAAAAGAAGAGCUUUGUGAAUAUAUAGGGAGCUUAUGCCUCAUACCAGAGCCAACUUCUUCUGAUCUACCCAUGUCUUUCCAAAUUUUCACUUUGGAAGCCAAGUUGAGAGGUCCCCAGUGUGGCAUAUUAAUUAACAGUGCUUCCCAGGACGUGUACCACCUGGGGGUGACCCUCCUGACUCUGUGAAGGGUCAUUCCACAGAGGGGAAAUUAGCUCUGUCCUUCCCAGUGCCUGGUCCCCUUGAACUUGAUCUGGAAAGCUGCCUAUCGCAGCUGAGAGCAGAAUGAAGACCCUGCUGGAGGAGGUCUGUGGCCCAGGCAGAGGCAUCUGAGUUGAACGUCAAAGAACAGCAGCCAGCCCCCCACCCCCAGCAUCCCAUGCCCCUCACUUCCCACCCACCUCUUCAGAACCCUAGAGUCAUAGCCCCUGCCACCACCCACUGAAAACUCUUACUUAUAAGAUCGUGAAAUCGAGAUUGAGAAAGGGGACCUGACUUCUAUGUCAUACACCACAUCCAUGAACAAGCUCCUGACUCCUGGUCUCAGGUUCUCUUUCUGUUGCUCCCAGACUCCAUGCUGAAUCUCCCGGGACCUGAUCAUGAGUGCCCUGCUCUGAGUGACCAGGGGUAGAGCGGUGCACGUUUCCUCCCUUCAACUCCAGCCCCUCAGGGGCAACCGAUAAAGUGGGAAAAACUUGAGAUUAACUGCAGAAGACCUAACUUAGUCACCAGCGCCACCUCUCACGAGCUGUGUGAUGGAGGCAAGUCACCCUCUCUGAUCUACAGUGGGAUUAAUUGAGGACUGGGAGGAACACUGACAGCUGCACCUCACGAAGCUGUUUGGACGGCUCAGUGAAAAAUGUAAAAA